Carassius carassius (crucian carp) is the source of this 345-nucleotide long non-coding RNA. RefSeq lists it as uncharacterized. The record is from RefSeq and is a predicted model, not a curated record. The transcript has 3 exons. Lineage: Eukaryota; Metazoa; Chordata; Actinopteri; Cypriniformes; Cyprinidae.
GUAAACUUGUCAAACACAUCUCUGGAGAACACGAGCGGAGCAGAGACAGGAGCAUCGUUCCUGAGGACAAACAAACCUCUGAACUUUAUACAACUCAGAACAAACACGAGCGAUCUCUGGUUGUGUGAAACUUCAACCAUAUCGACUACAUGAGGAAGAAAGACACAUUGAAUAAGAGCCCAUUACAAGCAGUAAAUUUUAUUAUGGGAUAACAGCACAUAAAGCACAUCUAAAAUCGAUGUGUCCAAUGCACUUUUAAUAAACGUAAUAUUAAAGCGGUAUUUACAAAAUGAAUCAAAAUACUUAUUUUCAUAUUUAAGAAUCAGACAAACAGAAGGAGCAAAA